RNAcentral lists this transfer RNA (85 nucleotides) under Felis catus (domestic cat). It matches the Rfam family "tRNA". From Rfam's summary of the family: Transfer RNA (tRNA) molecules are approximately 80 nucleotides in length. Their secondary structure includes four short double-helical elements and three loops (D, anti-codon, and T loops). The record is from Rfam by way of RNAcentral. RNAcentral also lists the same sequence under 1 other name. Lineage: Eukaryota; Metazoa; Chordata; Mammalia; Carnivora; Felidae.
GCCUGGGUGGCUGAGUCGGUUAAGCAUCUGACUUUGGCUCAGGUCAUGAUCUCAGGGUUUGUGGGUUCGAGCCCCACAUCAGCUC